Molecule: ribosomal RNA, 253 nt
Filed under: uncultured bacterium
Lineage: Bacteria
Description: partial 16S ribosomal RNA
Rfam family: Bacterial small subunit ribosomal RNA
Source: RNAcentral
UACGGAGGGUGCAAGCGUUAUCCGGAUUCACUGGGUUUAAAGGGUGCGUAGGCGGGCAGGUAAGUCAGUGGUGAAAUCUCCGAGCUUAACUCGGAAACUGCCGUUGAUACUAUUUGUCUUGAAUAUUGUGGAGGUAAGCGGAAUAUGUCAUGUAGCGGUGAAAUGCUUAGAUAUGACAUAGAACACCAAUUGCGAAGGCAGCUUACUACACAACGAUUGACGCUGAGGCACGAAAGCGUGGGUAGCGAACAGG